This is a non-coding RNA of Triticum urartu, 135 nucleotides long. NCBI's taxonomy places the organism in Eukaryota, Viridiplantae, Streptophyta, Magnoliopsida, Poales, Poaceae. The record is from Rfam.
ACGAUACUCCUUCCGUACUAAAAUUCUUGUCUUAGAUUUGUCUAAAUACGGAUAUAUCAAGUCACAUUUUAGUAUUAGAUACAUCCGUCUCUAGACAAAUCUAAGACAAGAAUUUUGAGACGAAGGGAGUAUAAU